Molecule: RNase P RNA, 216 nt
Filed under: Tyzzerella sp.
Lineage: Bacteria; Bacillati; Bacillota; Clostridia; Lachnospirales; Lachnospiraceae
Description: partial RNase P RNA component class A
Rfam family: Bacterial RNase P class A
About the family: Ribonuclease P (RNase P) is a ubiquitous endoribonuclease, found in archaea, bacteria and eukarya as well as chloroplasts and mitochondria. Its best characterised activity is the generation of mature 5'-ends of tRNAs by cleaving the 5'-leader elements of precursor-tRNAs.
Source: RNAcentral
CCUGCUGAUGCAGGUAAGGGUGGAAAGGCAGUGUAAGAGACUACCGCCCAUCUGGUAACAGAAGGGGCAUAUGUAAACCCCAUUCGAAGCAAGACCGGAAGAAAGCAAUGUGGCUGCCCGUCACGCUUUAGGUAGGUCGCUUGAACCUGCUGGUGACAGCAGGUCUGGAUAGAUGAACAUUCACGACAUAACCCGGCUUAUCGUUUUGCUUGCUUA